AGCCAUGCCGCGUGAGUGAAGAAGGCCUUCGGGUUGUAAAGCUCUUUCGCUAGGAAAGAAAACUUACAUAUUAAUACUAUGUGAGUAUGACGGUACCUUGAUAAGAAGCACCGGCUAACUACGUGCCAGC
This 130-nucleotide ribosomal RNA is filed under the name uncultured bacterium. RNAcentral's name for it is "partial 16S ribosomal RNA". It matches the Rfam family "Bacterial small subunit ribosomal RNA", at positions 390 to 512 of the family's 1533-position model. The record is from RNAcentral.